Molecule: non-coding RNA, 1578 nt
Organism: Paramisgurnus dabryanus
Lineage: Eukaryota; Metazoa; Chordata; Actinopteri; Cypriniformes; Cobitidae
Source: RefSeq, a predicted model, not a curated record
UGGAUUUAUUAAAUAAUUUGUUAAGAUCUGUUAUGACUUUUAUUAUAUCUAAUAUUUUAGUAUAAGGACUUUUAACACAUUAUUAUUUCUAAACACUAUAACCAUGUUAAAAACUAAUACAAGUCAGUUUAAGGCAUUGAUGUAUAGUAUUAUACGUAAAGCAUGCUAUUUAUUAACGACGCAUUACGAUCGCAGACGUUUAAUUAAUUUUAGCGUAACGUUACGUCUUACCGGAAGUUGACAGUGAGUAUUUCCGGAACACGUGUCCGCCCGUGUUACAGCUGGACGAGCGGGUGUCAAGAGGAGUGACAGCAAAUAUGAUUUCCCCCACAGACUCUCAAAAAAUUGGAAUAGGGCUAACUGGGUUUGGUGUGUUUUUUAUCUUCUUUGGGAUGAUCCUGUUUUUUGAUAAAGCCCUACUUGCCAUAGGAAAUAUCUUUUUCGUUAUCGGCCUGUCGUUCGUCAUUGGGUUGGAAAGGACUUUCAAGUUCUUUUUCCAGAAACACAAGAUGAAAGCUACCACCUUUUUCUUGGGGGGCGUCAUCGUGGUGUUGAUCGGAUGGCCCAUCAUCGGAGUGGCUCUAGAGUCUUAUGGCUUCUUUCUGUUAUUUAGGGGUUUCAUUCCAGUGGUUAUCGGUUUCUUCAGAAGGAUCCCUGUACUUGGAUAUUUGCUGAAUCUUCCAUUCAUAAGUGUGAGGUGACGUUUAGCGGCUUUUGCAUCCGAGCUCUUCAUACUUUGGCCUUUUCUGGCCAUGAUUUCUUCAUGUGUUCUCCCUAACACCAACAACUGCUUCCUUACAUGGACAAAGCAAGCGAAAGCAACAACAUGGUUUAACAAAGACAGAUUUUUCUUAUUUAUGAUGGAUUUUGAAACUUUACCCUGAAACAGUCAUGUGAAACAUGGGUUAACAUUGUAAGGAUGAGCAUUUGUGAUAUCUAUGACAUUGAGAGGCAAUCGGAGUGGCUUGGAAAAUAAGCCACGCCCACUUCUUGCCAGGCACACCAAAUCUAUGGAGCUGCAUCACAUGGCCCAGCAUCACUGCAUCCUAGAGGAACUCAACGUGUAUACUUGUUAAAUGCCUACUUCAUGAAGAAGUCAGCAGAAGUUAUCCCAUGAUGGACGAUUUGUUGAACAGGUUUAAGAGAGUCCUGGUUUUUUAUUGACUACUGCAAGUCUCUAUUCUGUUACAAUGAUUAUUUUAAUGAAGACAGAGUCAAGUGAAUAAUUUAAAGUCUUUUUUCUGUCAAAUCUGUGUACAAGUGCAAUAUUCAGAUUUCUUGUAAUUAUCUUAUAAACUUAUAGGUGAUGACUAACAGGCAUAAUGUUACCAUUGUUCUUUUGGCAAGUUAUCUUGUUAUCAAGUUAUCUCAACAUUGGGGUUUGAUAGUGGUUCGCGGUCAUGCACUUUUGUAAAUAAAUGUAUUUACAAAAUCUGCCAUUUGUUUUUUAUUGGGCUUUGGGGGCUUCCUGCUUUAUUUUACAGAUAGAUCUUGACAUGAUUACAAUGGACCCUAACCUAUGCAUUUGAAAAUUACAUAUUACAGAUUUAGAAUGAGUUCACACCAAUAAUAAAAUAA